RNAcentral lists this ribosomal RNA (254 nucleotides) under uncultured bacterium. RNAcentral's name for it is "partial 16S ribosomal RNA". It matches the Rfam family "Bacterial small subunit ribosomal RNA", at positions 524 to 776 of the family's 1533-position model. The record is from RNAcentral.
UACGUAGGGUGCGAGCGUUGUCCGGAAUUACUGGGCGUAAAGGGCGCGCAGGCGGCUACGCACGUCCGUUGUGAAAUCGCUCGGCUCAACUGGGCGGGGUCAGCGGAUACGGCGUAGCUGGAGCAAGCUAGGGGGCAAUGGAAUUCCCGGUGUAGUGGUGGAAUGCGUAGAUAUCGGGGAGGAACACCAGUGGCGAAGGCGGUUGCCUGGAGCUUUGCUGACGCUGAGGCGCGAAAGCGUGGGGAGCGAUCCGG